GUGAGGAAUAUUGGUCAAUGGGCGAGAGCCUGAACCAGCCAAGUCGCGUGAGGGAAGACGGCCCUAUGGGUUGUAAACCUCUUUUAGAUGGGAGUAAAGUGUUCUACGCGUAGGAUAUUGCAAGUACCAUCAGAAUAAGCAUCGGCUAAUUCCGUGCCAGCAGCCGCGGUAAUACGGAAGAUGCGAGCGUUAUCCGGAUUUAUUGGGUUUAAAGGGUGCGUAGGCGGGUGAUUAAGUCAGCGGUGAAAUGCGUCAGCUUAACUGGCGAACUGCCAUUGAAACUGGUUACCUUGAGUGUAGCGGAAGUAUGCGGAAUGCGUGGUGUAGCGGUGAAAUGCAUAGAUAUCACGCAGAACUCCGAUUGCGAAGGCAGCAUACCAUACUAUAACUGACGCUGAAGCACGAAAGCGUGGGUAUCGAACAGGA
Molecule: ribosomal RNA, 426 nt
Filed under: uncultured bacterium
Lineage: Bacteria
Description: bacterial SSU rRNA
Rfam family: Bacterial small subunit ribosomal RNA
Source: RNAcentral